GACGAACCGUGCGAACGUUGUUCGGAAUCACUGGGCUUAAAGGGCGCGUAGGCGGUCGAUCAAGUCCGGGGUGAAAUCCUGCAGCUUAACUGUAGAAGUGCCUUGGAUACUGGUUGACUCGAGGGAGGUAGGGGUCUGUGGAACUUCUGGUGGAGCGGUGAAAUGCGUAGAUAUCGGAAGGAACAUCAGUGGCGAAGGCGACUUCCUGGACCAAUACUGACGCUCAGGUGCGAAAGCGUGGGGAGCAAACAGG
This 253-nucleotide ribosomal RNA is filed under the name uncultured bacterium. RNAcentral's name for it is "partial 16S ribosomal RNA". It matches the Rfam family "Bacterial small subunit ribosomal RNA", at positions 524 to 776 of the family's 1533-position model. The record is from RNAcentral.